GCCUGGGUGGCUCAGUCGGUUGAGCGUCCGACUUCUGCUCAGGUCAUGAUCUCACAGCUCGUGAGUUCGAGCCCCACAUCGGGCU
RNAcentral lists this transfer RNA (85 nucleotides) under Felis catus (domestic cat). It matches the Rfam family "tRNA". From Rfam's summary of the family: Transfer RNA (tRNA) molecules are approximately 80 nucleotides in length. Their secondary structure includes four short double-helical elements and three loops (D, anti-codon, and T loops). The record is from Rfam by way of RNAcentral. Lineage: Eukaryota; Metazoa; Chordata; Mammalia; Carnivora; Felidae.